GACAGAGGUGGCAAGCGUUGUUCGGAAUUACUGGGCUUAAAGGGCGAGUAGGCGGUGAGACAAGUCCGAGGUGGAAUCCUUUGGCUUAACCAGAGAACUGCCUUAGAUACUGUUUCACUUGAGUCAGUGAGGGGAGGGCGGAAUUCCCGGUGUAGCGGUGAAAUGCGUAGAUAUCGGGAGGAAGGCCGGUGGCGAAGGCGGCCCUCUGGUGCUGAACUGACGCUGAGGCGCGAAAGCGUGGGUAGCAAACAGG
This 253-nucleotide ribosomal RNA is filed under the name uncultured bacterium. Its description in RNAcentral is "partial 16S ribosomal RNA". It matches the Rfam family "Bacterial small subunit ribosomal RNA", at positions 524 to 776 of the family's 1533-position model. The record is from RNAcentral.